GUGCUUGCUUUGGCAGUACAUAUACUAAAAUUGGAAUGAUACAGAGAAGAUUAGUAUGCUAGUAGCCUCUGUGCAGGAAUGACAUGUAAAUAUGUAAAGCAUUCCAUAUCUAA
Small nuclear RNA from Myotis lucifugus (little brown bat), 113 nucleotides. The record is from Ensembl. NCBI's taxonomy places the organism in Eukaryota, Metazoa, Chordata, Mammalia, Chiroptera, Vespertilionidae.